Molecule: long non-coding RNA, 6738 nt
Organism: Catharus ustulatus (Swainson's thrush)
Lineage: Eukaryota; Metazoa; Chordata; Aves; Passeriformes; Turdidae
Exons: 3
Source: RefSeq, a predicted model, not a curated record
UGACAUCUUAAAAAUAUAUAAACUAGGAUAUCUUACUGUUUGAUGCAUACAAAUGCAUAAAAAGGAGUAUAAAGAAUGACGUCUCCACUCUUUGAAAACAACAGCAUUUGUCAAACUGUUUCUAAAUUUCAAUCCACAAGUUCUGUAGGAUGGGUUUACAGCUAAACUUCCUACACUAAUUCCUACAAAUAUUUUUGUGGUAAUCACUGCCCCAAUCACCCUUGCCAUUUGUGUUAUAUGCAGAAUUGUGGAAAAAAAAUAAAAGUAGCUCAGUAUAGAGGCUAAUAAUUCAACUGCUCUCUGAUUUUAAUUUCAUAUGUCGUUCAGGGGCUGAAGCACUGCAAUAUUUGCAUUUGGCAAAGCUGGAGGAACUCCAAGAAACAAUUGUGUCCCUGUUGGUGCAUUAAAGAAUGAGAGGCAUUGGACAGGUGGGAUUUGGUCUGUGGAUGUGAUCCCUGGCUCUGCUACACCCUGGGCAUGUCCUGCCUGGGCUGUUUGGAGAGAUGUUCAGGUCUGCAUCAAACACUGCAACACCGAACAGCCCUAAAGGAUGGACCUGUGGCAACCAUGGAAGAUGCUACAGAGGCUGCUCAGAGUGGUGUCACCAAUCAGAUCUCCUUGUAGCUGUCGGCAGGCUGCCCUGGGCUGUGUCCCUGGUGCCCUGCAGCAGUGACCAAGCUUCCCUGCCCACCUCCAUUGCCAGCCCACCUUCACCUAGACAGGAUUCCUGUUGGCAAGCAUGAUGUGUAACUAAUGAUGCAAACCAGAGGUGCAGUGUAAUAAACCAGUGUGUUGCUCACACCACACCAGCAAUGUUAAAUGUUAGCAAUGUUAAAUGCCUCCAGGCUGCUCUUCAAGUGCAGGGGCGGGCCAGGACAGAACUACUGAGGAGAGGAGGGAGAAACCCCAUCUCAUGGAUGGGCUGCUGGAGUUUCCUUGUUUUCUGCCACGUUUAAAGGAUCAGCUGGCUGAUGUCAUGGGCUUCCCUGUGCAAAAGCUAGGUCAGAGAAAUCUGGGAUGUGUCAUAAGAACUUUAAGUGGUGAGACUUGCUUACUGAUGUCACCAUGGCAUGGCUGGCUGAGCAGCUCAGAGCCUGCUGUGAGACAGGGCUGGGGCUUGGCUUGAAGGCAGCACAGCUCGGGCCAGUGGUGCUGGCUGCUUGCUGAGGGUUAGCAGAGGGAGUCAUUGAGAUACCCUGCCCUGAGACAGCUCAGGGCUCUGAAAAUGCUGUAGGUGACCUUAAUUUUGAUUUGGGGUGUGCAGUAAUGAGCAAGCAGUGUGAUGAAUGUGUAAAGCUGACAGAAGGCACUGGCGUCCGUAAAGAAAUAGGAUGUGCAAGGUCAGGAAAGGUGUGCAGGGUGAAACGAUGUUUCAGAGGCAGUGAGCGUGCCAGGCUGACUCAUGAGCUGAACUGUGCAAUAAUCACAGGUAAUUAUUGCACACCAGCCAGGAGAAGGAUUUGCAUACACACCACGCUGGACCACAGGGCCCAUUUGGGCUCUGGCACACUCUGCUCACAGCUCAGAGCAGACAGGCAGAGACAUGAGGAGCCAUUUCCAAACACAGCCAAUAUUCUGUUUGUUUCCCCAUCCAGCUUCCAGACAUGACAUGGAGUCAUGAUGUGCAAGAGUGAGGAGACAGGGAGCUGGUGCCUUCAGAGCAAUGAAGGGCAGAUGAGUGCCUGUAUUCACCCCCUCAAAACAUGUCUGCACUACAGGAAUGUGUUUCUGAAUCUAUUGUGAGGAAUUCUCUUGUAAGCCAGUGUAUUUUUUACUGAAAUAAAAACAAUGGAAAUCCUGAAAAAUAAUGAAGCCCUGUUGGACAGGGCUAAGGGGCAAGGUAGCACACCUGCCUCGGUCUCCUGUAACAGAGAAAUCCCAAGGGAUUCUCAUCAUCCCAGGAGGCAGGUUUUGAGGCUGUGUCCUUCCAAUAGGAAAAUAACUGUAGUACCUCCACCCUGGUGCAGUUAGAGGCCUUGUGUGAUUUGGGUUUAAUGUCCCCUUCCUCUCCCUUGACCUUGCUCAGAUAGGUGGCUGGGUUGGUGCUGAUGGCAGUGAGGGCUCAUGUCAGCCUGUAAAGACACAGCACAGAUGAAUUAUAUCCCAAAGUGGCUCUCUGAAUGCAGAGAAGAGCACAGAUGUUCUGUGUGCCUGCGAACAGAGUCCUUGAAAGCAGAGCAGAUGUGCAAGUCCUGUGAUGGAGGGCAGGUAAGUGUUGUCAUGCCUGGUAGGGGCUGCUGGAACCUCCUGCCCCCAUCCCCACAUGCAGCUGCCAAAACCCAGCAGGUACACACAGCUCUUGCUGCGGAUCUGGGGUUGCAUCCAUCAGAACCUCUAACACCAUUUCUCUCCCCAGCCAGGCUUUAGGAAAUGUCUGCUGCAGACAUGUUCCUGGGAGGUAACCAGCCUUUGUCAGUGUCUCACACGGCAUUCCUGCUGGUGGUGCGAGCGGGUCGGGACACGAUGGCUGCGUCGUGUCCUGGCUUCUGCUCUGACUGAGAGCAUCAGUGUUCACUCGGUGUCAGCUCAGGAGUCCCCGCUGCCCUGGGGCUGAAACCCCCGAUCUGGCACAGGCAUAGCUCUCUGCUCAAGCUCAAAACAGCCUCGGAGCAGCCCUCGGGAGAGAGGGAAGUUUUGAGCCUUGAUUUUCCAGCCCGUGACUCGCAGUCCUGCGGGGCUGACGCGCCUCUGGAGCCACCGGCGCUUCCUCACCACAGCAGAGCGGCAGGGACACAGGUACUCACACUGCCAGGGGAACAGGGAGAGGAAGGCCAGGCCAGGCUCCUGCUUGCUUCAAAGCACACUGGGUUUGUAAAUACAUUUUUCUUUAUGGUUGGACAUGAGGAAUUCCAGUGACUUGCAGCUAAGGGUACCCCCCAAACCAUUCCAUCCCAUUUGUUGAAUGUAUAAAGCACCCAGCUGCCAUUUUUAAUGCAUACCAAGUUCUAGCAAAGGAUAGAAAAUAUUAGAGGUAAAAAAGUAACUUAUAUUAAUUCUUGUACCAGUAUAAACCUCUUUGUGGUGGAAAAGGUGUUGGAUGCAAGGUUAUCGAAGACACAAGCUCUCUGUUAACCAUUACAUGAUGUGAUGUUCUGGCUAAACUUACACCAGAUGACAAACUGCCCAAAACCAAAUGAUGCAAAGGCUAAACAUCACCAAAACAUGUAGAAGUCCAAACUCUUAGCCUACAGCAUCACAACAUAUAAAAUGGAUUACUCCUGUAUUACUUCUAGACAGCUUGGAGGAUGCUUUCCUUACUCCAAGAGAAACAAAGGCAUGAGGUGAAUAUGGCACCAGCACAAUCUGCAAUGCACACAGAGCCUCUGUGCUUAGGCUUUUUCUGUCCAGGGAAGAUCUUUCACCUUGCCAGCCACAUAACUUUCUCCUUCUGGGUCUUUGGGCAUUUCUUAGACAAUGAAUUGCCUAGGAGGCAGCACUUAAAAUUUAAUUCAGGAAGGGAAAGCAGUGCACAUGAAUGAUACAGACUCUACUAGCCCUUGUAGACCAUAUGAUUUAUACAUUCACUCAAACAGCAGUGAAUGAACAUUAUUAUAGCAGGCAAUAUGCUAUUGUGCUGUUACUUCUAUGCCUUGUCUUUUUAAUGAAAGGGUUUAUACCUUCAAAGUUAAUUAACUCAUUUCUCAAAAUCAUUUACACAUCUGCUCUGUUUCCAGUAAAACUUAGUUUCUUAACUUCUGAGUUACAUUAAAACAAAACAAACCUAAACUGAACGCCUCUUUAGACACGUUACUUCAUUUGUAAUGAGUUCAGAUGUGGAAUUGUUAAUGACAGAUUCCAUGGGCUGAAAUUUGGUGUGUCAUUUUGCACUGGUGGCUGCUGGAAGGACAGUCAGAUAAACAAUGGCCAUGAGCCUCUGUUGUACUCAGUGUCCAUCCCUGCUGCAAAGCAGGCUCAGUUUGGGUGUCUCUGGUGUGUGCCAGGGCCCUCCUGUCACUGGCAGACAGCAAGCUGGAGCUGAGGGCACCUCUGUCACCACAGCCCCUGUGGUGACACAACAGCAUGUUACUCCAGCUGACUGAGGGGCCUGUUUUGGUUCCUGCUGGCCAAACCCCUGGCUGCUGGCUGCUGUGGGGUCUCAGCCAAGCCCACUUCACCCCAGGCUUCUGCAGAGUUGUGUGCUUGUAAGCACAGCACUGGGAAUGGCAGCACUGGAGCAGAGCAAUGUGGGCAGGGCUGCCACUGCCCCUGCUGUGCCACACACGGGGAGCAGCCCUGCUUCCUGCUCCUGAUGGGCAGACAGAGUAUUUAAAUUAAAUUAUUACUUCAAUAACCCUUACGUUGUGUGGCAUGGCUUGGGAAGCAUUAAACUCAAGGUAAACAAAGAGUGUAGCACUCCAUCUGCUUUUAACAGCAACACGACUGUUUGGGCAGCACACAGAGCUGAGUACUGUUAGUAUUUACUGUAGAACACCUCAUGCCAAAUUUAGCCUACAAGCUGAUCACAGGCACCAGGUUUCAUUAUUUCAAGUGAUUUAUUCUUUUCUGAUGCGAAGAACACCUCUUCUGUGCACCAAAUGCUGCUUGUGAAGUCUGCUUUUCCACUUAAGAGAUGCUAAGCAGAAGCUAACCAAUGAAAUGAAGGUAAAUUUAAUUACAAAAACCAUAACGUUCUUCAAAACCAACAGCUCACUCUCUCUCUAACAAGGAAAAAUACAAAUAGAAACCCUUUGGCAAUGCUGAAGAAAUAUCUGGGGCUGAGGUGAAAGGGGCACAGCUUGACAAGUAUGCUGAAAGCUGAAUGUGGAUUACCCGUGAGUGCAAAAAUGAAUAAAUGUGUUUUAUUCCAUUAUAUUAAUGAAAUGGUUAAUUCAGUUGCUAUGGCAACAAGGAACAGCCAUGCUAAAAAGCUAAAGGGCCAUACAUAAUGCCAGAUACAAGGUCUCUCUAAUUCUAAAGCUGAUUUUCUUAGCCACAAUAAAAGUGAUGUGUAUUUUCAAUAUCAUCAGCUUUUGCAUCAAAUCCUCAAGCUAAUCCAAUAAAUAAGCUAGUAGCAUAAAAUAGCAAAUAUGUUGGCACCUCAUAAAACUUAUGCAAGGGGUUUACCUAUGCACAGCAAUACAAAAGGAGGCACAGAGUGCAGUGUGGGAUGCUUUAAGGAGACUGCUCUCUGUGUGAUGGUGAGGCAGCAAAUGUGUUACAAUGGGCAGCUCCUACAGUCAGGGGGCAGGUGCCUGCAGGAGCAACCACUGCAGCACUAGCCUAGACAUCAUCCUGAUAGCUAUUUCACCUUUGGGAAAAUAGACUUUAUAUUCUUUUCACCUGCAUUUCCUGUGAUUUUGAUUAAAAAGAAUAAUUCCAUAAGGCUUCAAUGAGAAAUCCUGCAGCGCUUGCUUUUGUUUGACAUGAAAGCCGUGGACAGGGUGACCCCUGGUCUUGCCAACAGCCAGAGAACAGACUACAAUUACUGAAGCCUAUGCAAAGGAAAGAGGAGUGCCCACUCUGCCCUUCAGAGGAGCCUGGGGCAGCCCCUGCACAACCAGGGCUCCCUGGGGAAGGAGCUGCUGGGCAGGGUCAGGGUGCUGCCCAGCCCCAGUGCUUCUACCGGGCUGGAGCCCCUCCCCAAGCCCAGGACACUUCCAUUCCUUUGGCUGCCUUUUGUUACAGUGAGAUUUAUCAAACACCACCUCACUCGCUCUGCCUGGGACAAAUAAAAGUCAAUACAGCACACUCACAGACUAUAACAGAAUUCACUGGCUCCCCUUGUUGAACUCAGACUUACAAAAUUUGGCCUCGUACACCUGCAUAAGCAACAUGGGUGACUUUUAUCUGCAGGCCAUCUGGUUUGCGUGAUAUUGGCAGUUAUGUUCCUGAGAAACAAAAUCUCUCAACAAUUGAAUAUAAAGCUUUCAGUCCUGAGGCCUAAAAUUGUCUGCAACAGGCAGAAGUAAAAGCUGUGAUGGUAAGUAGUCUCUAGACUAAACAGGUGAGAACAAUGUCCUUUAGGAUCAUGAUUAGCUCCAGUCAGUGGCAUGUGAUUCUAAUCAGCAGUUGUGAGUGUGAGCUGGCGACUGGAGGCAUUUGACACUGUUUGCACCUUGCUGAAGUGCAAUAAAGAGAGCUCACUACUGGAGGCAGAAACACUGAGAAGCAACGUUAGCUAUAUCACUAUGCUGAAGCAAAAUGUUUGGUCUCACAGAAAAACAAGGCAGAUCAAUAGUUGCCUCUGUUUUAGUCAACUUAUAUGAAAAUCAUUUAUUAAGAUUCUCCUGAACCUUACACAGUACCUCAAACCCAGAUGAGAAACAGCUUUGAACUGUUUGCUGUCCUUUAGGGUGCUGGCUGGCAAUAUGGAAAGGCCCGUGCAGUGCAGACAGAUGAGUUCUGUGUAGCCUGCCCCUCUAGAAGGCGAUGCUGCAUGGCCCUGCACAGAAAGCCCUGCCUUAAGGUGCAAAGGCAGCUCCCUGCAGAGCACGAGGAACCUUGCUGCACCUCUUGAGGGUACACGGGCAGGCUGGCAUUUCUACAGCACCACAAGAAACCCCAGCGGUUCAGAGGUUUGCUAGCAUUUGUCAAGGCAUAGAUAAACUGAAGGGCUACGGAGUUCAGCUGCUGAGCCACAGCAGAAAGGAUUUUGUUCUGCUCAGGGCUGAGUGCAAGCUAAUUCCCAUACGCUGCACCCAAGCAGGUGUGCCAUGGAAAAGCUUAAUAACUUGCAGUUCUUUUAAAGUAAAGGAACAAUUGCAUUUCCUUGUGGUAACUUCAGUGUGCUCAAGCUAG